CUUUUUUUCUUGCAUAGUUCCUCUGCUUGAAAAGUGUCUACAAAAUUCCAUCACACCUUUGCGGGGACCAGUUUGGGUCUCUAAGGGAGAAGGUUUCAGCCCCUCAGGAGCUAAGAUGUACAUCCAAGGAGUUCUUUUGGCCUUAUACCAACGAUUAAAGUCUGCAAAAAUAUAUUAUAAGCAGGAGUGGGUCUUCAGGCAGAGUACGGAUUCAAGAUUCCGGUCAUUCACACAUGAUUUUCCAGACAUACAACAACAACAGCAACACAAUAAUCAAUAAUAAAACAAGACAAAAAACAUGGCCGUUAUCCUUUCCUCCCUCCCUG
Molecule: long non-coding RNA, 326 nt
Filed under: Dasypus novemcinctus (nine-banded armadillo)
Lineage: Eukaryota; Metazoa; Chordata; Mammalia; Cingulata; Dasypodidae
Description: lncRNA (ENSDNOG00000050902.1)
Source: RNAcentral